AGAGAGAGACAUGCGCGCAUAUCAAUAAGCGGAGGAAAAGAAACUAACAAGGAUUCCCUUAGUAACGGCGAGUGAAGCGGGAAGAGCUCAAAUUUGAAAUCUUCAAGGUUUUACCUUGACGAAUUGUAGUUUAAAGAAGUGUUUUCUGCUGAAGUUUUGGUAAAAGUUCUUUGGAAUAGGACAUCAUAGAGGGUGAGAAUCCCGUAUUUGACCAUUAUUUUCAGCUUUGUGAUACACUUUCAAAGAGUCGGAUUGUUUGGGAAUGCAGUCCAAAAUGGGUGGUAAAUUUCAUCUAAAGCUAAAUAUUGGCGAGAGACCGAUAGCGAACAAGUACCGUGAGGGAAAGAUGAAAAGAACUUUGAAAAGAGAGUCAAACAGUACGUGAAAUUGUCAAAAGGGAAGCGUUUGACACCAGUGUUGUUUUCUCGAAAAUCAAUUAAAAAUGGCUCGAUUUUGUAUUGUUGAGACCUUAAAAGCUCACUGUACAUUUUUCGUGUCUUUUUUAAUGCACUUUUCGUUUAACAAGUCAACAUCAGUUUCUUUUGUUGUAAAAGGGUCAUUGGAAGGUGGCUUUCUUUUCGGAGAAAGUGUUUAUAGCCUUUGGCCUCUGCAAUCGGAGAGACUGAGGUCUGCAGCGUAGACUCUUCGGGGUUAGAUACAUUUGUGCUAAGUUAUAGCCUUUUCAUAGACAACUUGUUGACUAUAAUCAGUCAUGUAGCUUACUCGCUUAUGCUACUUUACCUACGCUUAGGAUGUUGAGUCGUAGAGCACGCAG
This 775-nucleotide ribosomal RNA is filed under the name uncultured Neocallimastigales. Its description in RNAcentral is "partial large subunit ribosomal RNA". It matches the Rfam family "Eukaryotic large subunit ribosomal RNA", at positions 23 to 634 of the family's 3401-position model. Lineage: Eukaryota; Fungi; Neocallimastigomycota; Neocallimastigomycetes; Neocallimastigales. The record is from RNAcentral.